UACAGAGGUCUCAAGCGUUGUUCGGAUUCAUUGGGCGUAAAGGGUGCGUAGGCGGUAGGGUAAGUCUGGUGUGAAAUCUUGGAGCUCAACUCCAAAAUUGCACUGGAUACUGCUCUGCUAGAGGACUGGAGAGGAGAUUGGAAUUCACGGUGUAGCAGUGAAAUGCGUAGAUAUCGUGAGGAAGACCAGUGGCGAAGGCGAAUCUCUGGACAGUUCCUGACGAUGAGGCACGAAGGCCAGGGGAGCAAACGGG
This 253-nucleotide ribosomal RNA is filed under the name uncultured bacterium. Its description in RNAcentral is "partial 16S ribosomal RNA". It matches the Rfam family "Bacterial small subunit ribosomal RNA", at positions 524 to 776 of the family's 1533-position model. The record is from RNAcentral.